GCAUUAUUCCUGGGAUCUACCUCUGCGCCAAACUAGCGGUUCAUCUGGAAGUGCUAGGCACCGAUGAACGUCAAAUUCUUUCCCUGGCUGGCCUCCCUUGACCGAUGUUGGACCAUGGAGCGAAGAGCGUGUCAUGGCCUGCCACACGACCCCAUAUGCAAGCUCUCUUGCUAGGAGGACGAGACCAUCGAUCAUUUACACGCCUAGUGCACCUUCUUAAAGAUCACCUGGCAUGAAAUUCUGUCUUGGUGUCGUCUCCCAGUGCUCCCGCCCAACGAGGAUGCGACCUUCUUCACUUGUUGA
This 303-nucleotide ribosomal RNA is filed under the name Triticum aestivum (bread wheat). RNAcentral describes it as "partial small subunit ribosomal RNA". The record is from RNAcentral. Lineage: Eukaryota; Viridiplantae; Streptophyta; Magnoliopsida; Poales; Poaceae.